UGGGCAACGUCAAACGUGUGCGGCCUGGAGAAAACUAUCGGCGCUCGUUCUGGAUACAUAUGUCAGUAAUGCCGGGAGCGGAAAGGGGUUAGAACUUAGUUAUUUGGUUGCCGUGUGGUCUGGCUGUUCACAGUUUAGUAUAAAAGUCGGCCCGUUUCGGAUGAAUGAAUCAAAGUUCAAGAUGAAGUGUUUCCUAGUUUUCUCCGUUCUGGUCGCCGUGUGCGCUGCUACGAGCCUCCCGAAGCCUGAUUGCCCCCCGAAUAGUGAUUGGAAUAACUUUGUUACCAAGUUCGAACCUUCAUGUGAUACCUUGAACAAUCCGCCGCCACCACAAUCCGGACCCCCUUCCUACGAUGUGGGCUGUAAAUGCAAUGAGGGAUAUGUUCAUAAUGCCGAGAAAAGAUGCAUCCUCAUCGCUGAUUGUCCUUAAAAGAAGAAAAAACAUUAACCCUUUUGAAUGAAAAAUUAUGCACAAUAAACAAUAGCAAUUGAAA
This is a long non-coding RNA of Uranotaenia lowii, 494 nucleotides long. RefSeq lists it as uncharacterized. NCBI's taxonomy places the organism in Eukaryota, Metazoa, Arthropoda, Insecta, Diptera, Culicidae. The transcript is spliced from 2 exons. The record is from RefSeq and is a predicted model, not a curated record.